UUUCUACAAUUUUAGCUGAAUAUCGAUUUUCGAACCCUACGUUUUGGUACAUAUUUUCCCUGGUAGAUAAAUUUCAGAACAUUUGAAUUUUUUUUCCUGAAAAUUGAGUUUGUAAUUUUGUAUUUUUUUUUUUUAUUGUGUCUGACAUCAUUAGCAAGGAAAUGUAUGUACUGAAUUGAACCAAAACGAUCAUAUUGAAAAUUGAACUUGAAUUCCAAAAGCUUUAUUGAUUAUAUUAUGUAGCUGGAGCUAGCUAGAUGUUUAGCAAAUUAAGAUGUUUUGGCAUUUUGCUAAUGUAUAAUGGGCUAAUGGCUUUUAAAAGAAAAUAUGUUGUACAGGUAACUCUACUUGCUCUGUGCAUGAUUUAGUAUGCUGUUAAGCUCAUAUCUUUAGGUUGUUCCUGUGAUGAACACGUUAUAUGUGCCUUUAAAACCAAAACAAUCAUAUGAAAAUUAAACUUGAAUUCCAAAAGCUUUAUUAAUUAUAUUAUUAGCUGGAGCUAGCUAGAUGUUUAGCAAAUUAAGAUAAUUUCCAUGCACUCUAGUUUUGGCAUUUUGUUAAUGUGUGUACAUGUAGCUCUACUUGCAUUGUGUAUGAUUUAUUAUACUGUAAAGCACAUAUCUUUAGGCUGUUCCUGUGAUGAACACGCCAUAUAUGCCUUGAAACCUUCAUACAAAAAUAAACUUGAAUUCCAAACGCUAUGUUAAUAAUAUUGUUAGCUGGAGCAAGCUAGAUGUUUUGCAAAUUAAGAUCAUUUCUAUGCACUCUAGUUUUGGUAUUUUGUUAAUGUGUGUACAUGUAGCUCUACUUGCAUUAUGUUUUGCAAAUUAAGAUCAUUUCUAUGCAAUCUAGUUUUGGUAUUUUGCUAAUGUAUAACGGCUUUUAAUUGAAAAUAUGUUGUAUAGGUAGCUCUACUUGCGUUGCAUGUGAUUUAUUACACUGCAAAGCUCAUAUCCUUUAGGCUGUUCCUGUGAUGAACUUGCUAUAUAUGCCUUUACUCAAUUACAUUGUAUUACUGGAAAGUGCCGUGACUCAACCAACUGGUCCUUUAGGUUACACCUUAUACUCUCUAUCUCAUUGGGAUGGGUAGGCAAACUUAUUAAAAGCGCUUGCUUUUGCGCUUUAAGCGCAAAAGCAAGGCGAGCGAUGGCAGAUCGCCUCGCCUAGGCAAGGCGCAGUAGCGUGAGAAAGCGCGCGCUUGAACGCGCUUUUCUGGCGAGGCAACGAAGCGACGAAGCGGCGAAAAGCGAGGCUUUACUAUGCAGAGCGCAAGUCAACGGUCA
Molecule: long non-coding RNA, 1283 nt
Organism: Ipomoea nil (Japanese morning glory)
Lineage: Eukaryota; Viridiplantae; Streptophyta; Magnoliopsida; Solanales; Convolvulaceae
Exons: 2
Source: RefSeq, a predicted model, not a curated record